AAGCGUGCGCAGGCGGCUUUGCAAGACAGAUGUGAAAUCCCCGGGCUCAACCUGGGAACUGCAUUUGUGACUGCAAGGCUAGAGUACGGUAGAGGGGGAUGGAAUUCCGCGUGUAGCAGUGAAAUGCGUAGAUAUGCGGAGGAACACCAAUGGCGAAGGCAAUCCCCUGGACCUGUACUGACGCUCAUGCACGAAAGCGGUGGGGAGCAAACAGGAUUAGAUACCCGUGU
This 230-nucleotide ribosomal RNA is filed under the name uncultured bacterium. RNAcentral's name for it is "partial 16S ribosomal RNA". It matches the Rfam family "Bacterial small subunit ribosomal RNA", at positions 563 to 791 of the family's 1533-position model. The record is from RNAcentral.